GCAUCGAUGAAGAACGCAGCGAAAUGCGAUAAGUAAUGUGAAUUGCAGAAUUCAGUGAAUCAUCGAAUCUUUGAACGCACAUUGCGCCCUCUGGUACUCCGGAGGGCAUGCCUGUUCGAGCGUCAUUGCACCCUCAAGCCUCGCUUGGUAGUGGGCGCCGGCCCCCCGGGGACGCGCCUUAAAGACGGUGGCGGUCCGUCGUGACUUCAAGCGUAGUAUGAUUACUCCAGUCCCGCUUUGGAAGCCUCGCGACGCGUCCGGCCAUGCCUCCCGCGGCCUUUAGACGGCCUUGCACGAUUGACCUCGGAUCAGGUAGGGAUACCCGCUGAACUUAAGCAUAUCAAUAAGCGGAGGAAAAGAAACCAACAGGGAUUGCCUCAGUAACGGCGAGUGAAGCGGCAACAGCUCAAAUUUGAAAUCUGGCCCCCCCCGGGGUCCGAGUUGUAAUUUGCAGAGGGUGUUUCGGGCGAGGCACCGGCCUAAGUCCCUUGGAACAGGGCGUCCUAGAGGGUGAGAGUCCCGUAUGCGGCCGGCGACCGAGUCCAUGUGAAACCCCUUCGACGAGUCGAGUUGUUUGGGAAUGCAGCUCUAAAUGGGUGGUAUAUUUCAUCUAAAGCUAAAUACUGGCCAGAGACCGAUAGCGCACAAGUAGAGUGAUCGAAAGAUGAAAAGCACUUUGGAAAGAGAGUUAAACAGCACGUGAAAUUGUU
RNAcentral lists this ribosomal RNA (710 nucleotides) under Calicium notarisii. Its description in RNAcentral is "eukaryotic LSU rRNA". The stretch from base 299 to 710 matches the Rfam family "Eukaryotic large subunit ribosomal RNA", at positions 1 to 409 of the family's 3401-position model. The record is from RNAcentral. Lineage: Eukaryota; Fungi; Ascomycota; Lecanoromycetes; Caliciales; Caliciaceae.